This 1277-nucleotide ribosomal RNA is filed under the name Pseudomonas fulva. RNAcentral's name for it is "bacterial SSU rRNA". It matches the Rfam family "Bacterial small subunit ribosomal RNA", at positions 36 to 1356 of the family's 1533-position model. The record is from RNAcentral. Lineage: Bacteria; Pseudomonadati; Pseudomonadota; Gammaproteobacteria; Pseudomonadales; Pseudomonadaceae.
CUGGGGCAGCUACACAUGCAAGUCGAGCGGAUGACGGGAGCUUGCUCCUUGAUUCAGCGGCGGACGGGUGAGUAAUGCCUAGGAAUCUGCCUGGUAGUGGGGGACAACGUUUCGAAAGGAACGCUAAUACCGCAUACGUCCUACGGGAGAAAGCAGGGGACCUUCGGGCCUUGCGCUAUCAGAUGAGCCUAGGUCGGAUUAGCUUGUUGGUGAGGUAAUGGCUCACCAAGGCGACGAUCCGUAACUGGUCUGAGAGGAUGAUCAGUCACACUGGAACUGAGACACGGUCCAGACUCCUACGGGAGGCAGCAGUGGGGAAUAUUGGACAAUGGGCGAAAGCCUGAUCCAGCCAUGCCGCGUGUGUGAAGAAGGUCUUCGGAUUGUAAAGCACUUUAAGUUGGGAGGAAGGGUUGUAGAUUAAUACUCUGCAAUUUUGACGUUACCGACAGAAUAAGCACCGGCUAACUCUGUGCCAGCAGCCGCGGUAAUACAGAGGGUGCAAGCGUUAAUCGGAAUUACUGGGCGUAAAGCGCGCGUAGGUGGUUUGUUAAGUUGGAUGUGAAAGCCCCGGGCUCAACCUGGGAACUGCAUCCAAAACUGGCAAGCUAGAGUACGGUAGAGGGUGGUGGAAUUUCCUGUGUAGCGGUGAAAUGCGUAGAUAUAGGAAGGAACACCAGUGGCGAAGGCGACCACCUGGACUGAUACUGACACUGAGGUGCGAAAGCGUGGGGAGCAAACAGGAUUAGAUACCCUGGUAGUCCACGCCGUAACGAUGUCAACUAGCCGUUGGAAUCCUUGAGAUUUUAGUGGCGCAGCUAACGCAUUAAGUUGACCGCCUGGGGAGUACGGCCGCAAGGUUAAAACUCAAAUGAAUUGACGGGGGCCCGCACAGCGGUGGAGCAUGUGUUUAAUUCGAAGCAACGCGAAGAACCUUACCAGGCCUUGACAUGCAGAGACUUUCCAGGAGAUGGAUUGGUGCCUUCGGACUCUGACACAGGUGCUGCAUGCUGUCGUCAGCUCGUGUCGGGAGAAUGUUGGGUUAAGUCCGUACGAGCCCAACCUUGUUCCUUAGUACCAGCACCGUAUGUGGCACUCUAGGGAACUGCGGGUGACAACGAGGAGGUGGGGAUGGCGUCAGUCAUCUAUGCCUUACGGCUUGCUACACUGUCUCAUGGUCGGUACAAAGGUGCAAGCCGAGGUGGACCUAUCCAAACGAUCGAUCGAUCGAUGCACUUCCAGCUGUGAGUCGAAUCCAGUAGAUAUCGGCACAUCGAUAG